UCCAGCAAAAUUUGCCAAAACCGAUAGCUCUUUCUCGAUUCUGUGGGGGGCGGGUGGUGCAUGGCUGUUCUUAGUUGGUGGAGCAAUUUGUCUGGUUAAUUCUGAUAAUGAACGAGACUCUGGCAUGCUAACUAGUUAUGUAACCCCCGAGUGGUUGGGGCGUCCAACUUCUUAGAGGGACAAGUGGCUUGACCAGGGGAGGGGCUGCAGAGGAGAACAUGAAGAAGCGGCUGCCAGACU
This 240-nucleotide non-coding RNA is filed under the name Ophiophagus hannah (king cobra). RNAcentral describes it as "Eukaryotic small subunit ribosomal RNA". It matches the Rfam family "Eukaryotic small subunit ribosomal RNA", at positions 1229 to 1443 of the family's 1831-position model. Lineage: Eukaryota; Metazoa; Chordata; Lepidosauria; Squamata; Elapidae. The record is from Rfam by way of RNAcentral.